GACGAACGCUGGCGGCGUGCUUAACACAUGCAAGUCGAACGGAAAGGCCCUGCUUUUGUGGGGUGCUCGAGUGGCGAACGCGUGAGUAACACGUGAGUAACCUGCCCUUGACUUUGGGAUAACUUCAGGAAACUGGGGCUAAUACCGGAUAGGAGCUCCUGCUGCAUGGUGGGGGUUGGAAAGUUUCGGCGGGUGGGGAUGGACGCGCGGCUGAUCAGCUUGCUGGUUGGGUAGUGGCUUACCAAGGCUUUGACGGGUCGGCGGCAUGAGAGGGUGGACGGCGACAUUGGGACUGAGAUACGGCCCAGACUGCUACGGGAGGCAGCAGUGGGGAAUCUGGCACAAUGGGAGGGAGCCUGAUGCAGAAACGCUGCGUGCGGGAUGACCGCCUUCGGGUUGUAAACCGCUUUCGCCUGUGACGAAGCGUGAGUGACGGUAAUGGGUAAAGAAGCACCGGCUAACUACGUG
This 468-nucleotide ribosomal RNA is filed under the name uncultured bacterium. RNAcentral describes it as "partial 16S ribosomal RNA". It matches the Rfam family "Bacterial small subunit ribosomal RNA", at positions 28 to 507 of the family's 1533-position model. The record is from RNAcentral.